CAGCAGCCGCGGUAAUACGUAGGGUCCGAGCGUUGUCCGGAAUUAUUGGGCGUAAAGGGCUCGUAGGCGGUUUGUUGCGUCGGGAGUGAAAACCCAGGGCUUAACUUUGGGCUUGCUUUCGAUACGGGCAGACUUGAGGCAUUGAGGGGAGAACGGAAUUCCUGGUGUAGCGGUGAAAUGCGCAGAUAUCAGGAGGAACACCGGUGGCGAAGGCGGUUCUCUGGCAAUGUUCUGACGCUGAGGAGCGAAAGUGUGGGGAGCGAACAGGAUUAGAUACCCCGGUAGUCCCUGUCUCUUAUAC
RNAcentral lists this ribosomal RNA (301 nucleotides) under uncultured bacterium. RNAcentral describes it as "partial 16S ribosomal RNA". It matches the Rfam family "Bacterial small subunit ribosomal RNA", at positions 509 to 807 of the family's 1533-position model. The record is from RNAcentral.